CUGGUUGAUCCUGCCAGACCCGACUGCUAUCGGAUUGGGACUAAGCCAUGCGAGUCAACUCCGCAAGGGGUGGCGCACGGCUCAGUAACACGUAGUCAACCUACCCUGGGGACGGGGAUAACCUCGGGAAACUGAGGCUAAACCCCGAUGGGCCAUGGCUCCUGGAAUGGGCUAUGGCUGAAAUCUACAUGGCCCCAGGAUGGGACUGCGGCCGAUCAGGUUGUUGGUGGGGUAAUGGCCCACCAAGCCUAUAACCGGUGCGGGCUCUGAGAGGAGGAGCCCGGAGAUAGGCACUGAGACAAGGGCCCAGGUCCUAUGGGGCGCAGCAGGCGCGAAACCUCCGCAAUGGGCGAAAGCCCGACGGGGUCAGUCCGAGUGGUUCCCGCUGAGGGAACCUUUUGCCAGCUGUAAACAGGCUGGCGAAUAAGGGGUGGGCAAGUUUGGUGUCAGCCGCCGCGGUAAUACCAGCACCCCGAGUGGUCGGGACGAUUAUUGGGCCUAAAGCAUCCGUAGCCGGCCCAGUAAGUCCUCCGUUAAAUCCAACGGCUCAACCGUUGGGCUGCGGGGGAUACUGCUGGGCUAGGGGACGGGAGAGGCGAGGGGUAUUCCCGGGGUAGGGGUAAAAUCCACUGAUCCCGGGAGGACCACCAGUGGCGAAGGCGCCUCGCUAGAACGUGCCCGACGGUGAGGGAUGAAAGCUGGGGGAGCGAACCGGAUUAGAUACCCGGGUAGUCCCAGCCGUAAACGAUGUAGGCUCGGUGUUGGGCUGCCUCAGUGGCAGCCCAGUGCCGCAAGGAAGCCGUUUAGCCUACCGCCUGGGGAGUACGGCCGCAAGGCUGAAACUUAAAGGAAUUGGCGGGGGAGCACCAC
This 870-nucleotide ribosomal RNA is filed under the name uncultured archaeon. RNAcentral describes it as "bacterial SSU rRNA". It matches the Rfam family "Archaeal small subunit ribosomal RNA", at positions 4 to 882 of the family's 1478-position model. The record is from RNAcentral.